RNAcentral lists this long non-coding RNA (640 nucleotides) under Equus caballus (horse). RNAcentral describes it as "lncRNA (ENSECAG00000043997.1)". Lineage: Eukaryota; Metazoa; Chordata; Mammalia; Perissodactyla; Equidae. The record is from RNAcentral.
CUUUAAAGCAAGAUCGUGGUCAGGAGCUUCUGUUUCUGGCAAAAUAACAGACUGGCCAUGCAGAGAACUCCUCUUGGAACAAAACACAUAAAAACACCGGAAGCAAUAUUAAUCUCAAAAGCAUUUUUUAAUGCGUGGUAGAGUUGGUGGGAAAGUAGGGAGCAUCUUUAAGGCCAGAACUAAUAUGAAAGCCAUACCAUAUUUUUGAGUUCAGGAUGUCAUCUCAAGUGGUCCCAGUGGAUAGAGCCCCACAGAGCCUGGCAAAGUAAAGCAACUCUGGAGCGAUGCACUUCGGCUGGAGCCUUCGAAGACGUCCCACUAAUAAAGUCAUACAAGUCACAGAGCCCGUCAGGAAUGGACCACCAGGAGCAAGAGGCAGCAGGCAAGGUCAAAUGCAGCCCCAGAGUCGUACAAACUGCAGACUCUCCGACUGUCAGUUACGAACUACAAAAAGGUCUUCAAAUGCUUAAGGAAACAAAAGAGGAUAGUCGAAGGAUGGCAAAGAAGCAGGAAACUAUCAUAUUUGCAGGCACAUUGGAGAAAAGGACUAAAGAGCAAUUCCAGAAAUAAAAAACUAUAAUCGAAGUUAGAAACUGAACAGGUAGGUUAAACAGCUGAGAAGACAUGUGACUAUUUGGAG